UUUACAAAAGAAAAAAUUGUCGUCGUCAUCAAUUGCAUCCGUAUGCUGCUGCCUAUGCUUCUUUAAAUGUGCAGUCCUCCGCGACUUUCUCUUCUUUUUCUCACACAUUUCUUCGAUAGGAAGCUUCAUCCUUAAACCUUCUUGAUCGCUUUCGCCUUUGAUUCAACUGCCGGUGAGAUUUCAGAGGUCUCUGGUGGAGGUGGUGAAACUACCUUUAACUUGUGUAGUUGCUACGAGAAGAUGGUCAUGAACGAUUAUGAUUCUGAUGCGAUUCGUUGGGGUCUUCGUUUUUUCAAUGGGGACUCAAAUGGGGACUCAAAUGGGGACAUGCCGUACAGUACCGAGUACUUGCCUGACACGGCACAACAUGAUGUCAAUUUCUAUGAGCAUUAUUAUGGAAAUAAUUACAAUAAUGAGGUUAACAAUGUGGAGAACGACGAAAUUAUUGCACACACUCUUCAGGAGGAGUUUUCCCAAUUAGAGAUUGCGGAGGCCUCAGGAUAUUCAAAUGUAGAAGAUCCGUCCCAAGCAUCGAAGUUUGCGCUUGGUUGGAACAAUCCCUCCUCAAGGAACUACAGUUCAGAAAAUGAUUCUGUUGAAGAUGAAGUUGAAACUGUGGAGCCUUCUAGUUCAUGCUCUAGUCCAGGUCAAGGGGAUAAUUAUUAUCCAUAUGGGCAUGAUAAUCAAGUAGAUUGGAGAAUGGAUCAAAUGAUUCCAGCACCUCAUGUCCCAAGAAUUAAUGGUGAGAUUCCUUCAAUUGAUGAAGUAACUUCAGAUCAUCAAAGGUUGCUGGAUAGGUUGAAGGUAUAUGAUUUUGUUGAACGCAAGGUGAAAGGGGAUGGUAAUUGUCAGUUCCGUGCUUUAUCAGAUCAACUAUUUGGAACCUCUGAUCGCCACAAGUUGGUGAGAGAAAAUGUUGUGAGUCAGCUCAAAUCACAUCGGGAGAUUUACGAGGGAUACGUUCCCAUGCCAUAUGAUGAUUAUUUGGAAAAGAUGUCCAUGAGUGGUGAGUGGGGUGAUCAUGUAACACUACAGGCAGCUGCAGAUUGGUAUGGCGUCAAAAUAUUUGUUAUGACUUCUUUUAAGGAAACCUGUUGUAUUGAGAUUCUCCCUAAUUUUCAGAAGAAAAAGCAAGUCAUUUUCCUGAGCUUUUGGGCAGAGGUGCAUUACAAUUCAAUCUAUCCUCAAGGAGGUGUUUCCUCAGUUGCAGAUGAGCAAUCAUCAAAUGACUCAAGAAAGAGGAGGAAAUGGUGGAUUUUUGGAAACAAGCAUUAAAACUCCGGGCAAAAGGUGCAAUAAGCCCUAACCUCUACUGCAUCUUACACUUAGAUACUCAGUGGUUUUCUAUAAAUUUCAAGAAGAUUAUUUUUUUCAAUAACUCCGUCUGCAGUUUAUUAUACGAACAAAGAAUUCGAGGGAAGAUUCCAGAACAUUCAUACUGAUUUCAAUGAUUGGACUUCAAUCUUUUCAAUUUGUAACCACAGAAACUCGGAAUGUUCCUGAUUCUGUCCCCAAUUCCAUACCCCACUGAAAAAUCUAAUGAUUGGGAACUCAUAAGACCAUGUUGAUAAUGGUGGGUCCAUUCAAUCAGAAGACAGAGAAGAUAUUUAAAUGUAAACGAAAAGAAAAGGGGGAAAAAAA
This is an RNA transcript of Cucumis sativus (cucumber), 1641 nucleotides long. It is a transcript of the gene named OVARIAN TUMOR DOMAIN-containing deubiquitinating enzyme 12, with no coding region annotated. The record is from RefSeq and is a predicted model, not a curated record. The transcript is spliced from 12 exons. NCBI's taxonomy places the organism in Eukaryota, Viridiplantae, Streptophyta, Magnoliopsida, Cucurbitales, Cucurbitaceae.